GCAUAUCAAUAAGCGGAGGAAAAAGAAAACCAACAGGGAUUGCCCUAGUAACGGCGAGUGAAGCGGCAACAGCUCAAAUUUGAAAUCUGGCUCUCGGGCCCGAGUUGUAAUUUGUAGAGGAUACUUUUGAUGCGGUGCCUUCCGAGUUCCCUGGAACGGGACGCCAUAGAGGGUGAGAGCCCCGUCUGGUUGGAUGCCAAAUCUCUGUAAAGUUCCUUCAACGAGUCGAGUAGUUUGGGAAUGCUGCUCUAAAUGGGAGGUAUAUGUCUUCUAAAGCUAAAUACCGGCCAGAGACCGAUAGCGCACAAGUAGAGUGAUCGAAAGAUGAAAAGCACUUUGAAAAGAGAGUUAAAAAGUACGUGAAAUUGUUGAAAGGGAAGCGUUUAUGACCAGACUUGGGCUUGGUUAAUCAUCUGGGGUUCUCCCCAGUGCACUUUUCCAGUCCAGGCCAGCAUCAGUUUUCCCCGGGGGAUAAAGGCGGCGGGAAUGUGGCUCUCUUCGGGGAGUGUUAUAGCCCACCGUGUAAUACCCUGGGGGGGACUGAGGUUCGCGCAUCUGCAAGGAUGCUGGCGUAAUGGUCAUCAACGACCCGUCUUGAAACACGGACCAAGGAGUCGUCUUCGUAUGCGAGUGUUCGGGUGUCAAACCCCUACGCGUAAUGAAAGUGAACGCAGGUGAGAGCUUCGGCGCAUCAUCGACCGAUCCUGAUGUUCUCGGAUGGAUUUGAGUAAGAGCAUACGGGGCCGGACCCGAAAGAAGGUGAACUAUGCCUGUAUAGGGUGAAGCCAGAGGAAACUCUGGUGGAGGCUCGCAGCGGUUCUGACGUGCAAAUCGAUCGUCAAAUAUGGGCAUGGGGGCGAAAGACUAAUCGAACCUUCUAGUAGCUGGUUUCCGCCGAAG
Molecule: ribosomal RNA, 900 nt
Filed under: Fusarium oxysporum
Lineage: Eukaryota; Fungi; Ascomycota; Sordariomycetes; Hypocreales; Nectriaceae
Description: LSU rRNA
Rfam family: Eukaryotic large subunit ribosomal RNA
Source: RNAcentral